Non-coding RNA from Paramuricea clavata, 260 nucleotides. The record is from the annotation of a GenBank genome assembly. NCBI's taxonomy places the organism in Eukaryota, Metazoa, Cnidaria, Anthozoa, Malacalcyonacea, Plexauridae.
CCACAUCAUAAAUGCGAGGUUUGUCGGUCAUAUUUCCAAAUUCCGAUGCACGAAAUCGUCGCUUGACAAAAAUCACAGCGUCUUCUUAAAUGCUAGCGAAUUUUAUUAAAGCGAUUUAAGAAUGCUUCUCGACGCGUCUGGUCGUUGCCACGUUGUCAGAAAAAGGUUUAAUCUGUUAAUUUAAAUACGUAAAUGAGUUUUAAGUUCGUUUUAAUCAUCCAUUCUUGGCCUAUUUGCCUUUUGCCUGUUUUCGAUCAAAU